Molecule: ribosomal RNA, 497 nt
Filed under: uncultured bacterium
Lineage: Bacteria
Description: partial 16S ribosomal RNA
Rfam family: Bacterial small subunit ribosomal RNA
Source: RNAcentral
GAUGAACGCUGGCGGCGUGCCUAAUACAUGCAAGUCGAGCGAACGGACGAGAAGCUUGCUUCUCUGAUGUUAGCGGCGGACGGGUGAGUAACACGUGGAUAACCUACCUAUAAGACUGGGAUAACUUCAGGAAACCGGAGCUAAUACCGGAUAAUAUUUUGAACCGCAUGGUUCAAAAGUGAAAGACGGUCUUGCUGUCACUUAUAGAUGGAUCCGCGCUGCAUUAGCUAGUUGGUAAGGUAACGGCUUACCAAGGCAACGAUGCAUAGCCGACCUGAGAGGGUGAUCGGCCACACUGGAACUGAGACACGGUCCAGACUCCUACGGGGGGCAGCAGUAGGGAAUCUUCCGCAAUGGGCGAAAGCCUGACGGAGCAACGCCGCGUGAGUGAUGAAGGUCUUCGGAUCGUAAAACUCUGUUAUUAGGGAAGAACAUAUGUGUAAGUAACUGUGCACAUCUUGACGGUACCUAAUCAGAAAGCCACGGCUAACUACGUG